RNAcentral lists this ribosomal RNA (386 nucleotides) under uncultured soil bacterium. Its description in RNAcentral is "bacterial SSU rRNA". It matches the Rfam family "Bacterial small subunit ribosomal RNA", at positions 60 to 456 of the family's 1533-position model. The record is from RNAcentral.
AGUCGUACGGUGUAGCAAUACACAGUGGGCGAACGGGAGAGUAAUGAAUCGCUNNNNNNCCCCGGACUCUGGGAUAGCUAUCCGAAAGGAUAGGUAAUACCAGAUGAGACCACGAACAGGCAUCUGUUUGUGCUCAAAGGUCCGCCGGUCUGGGAGCAGGCGAUUUCGUAUCAGCUAGUUGGUGAGGUAACGGCUCACCAAGGCGACGACGCGUAGCCGGACUGAGAGGUUGGCCGGCCUCAUUGGGACUGAGACACUGCCCAGACUCCUACGGGGGGCUGCAGUAACGAAUCUUCCGCAAUGCACGAAAGUGUGACGGAGCGACGCCGCGUGUGGGACGAAGUUCUUCGGAAUGUAAACCACUGUCANGGGUUAGAAAGUUCUGA